GAUGGCCGGGGCUCUUGAGCUAUAAGUGGCACCUCAGGGCCCUGUCGGUCGUCUCGCCAUGCUGCUCCUGGGCCUGCUGCUGCUGCUGCCCCUGCUGGCUGGCGCCCGCCUGCUGUGGAACUGGUGGAAGCUCCGGAGCCUCCACCUCCCGCCUCUUGCCCCGGGCUUCUUGCACCUGCUGCAGCCCGACCUCCCCAUCUAUCUGCUCGGCCUGACUCAGAAAUUCGGGCCCAUCUACAGGCUCCACCUUGGGCUUCAAGGUGAGAGGCUAAUCUCGCUCUGGCCCUCACCACAGGAGGGGCGGAGGUGGCGGACAGGGUCCUCUCUCUGCUGACGCUGCUUUGGCUCUCCCCCAGAUGUGGUGGUGCUGAACUCCAAAAGGACCAUUGAGGAAGCCAUGGUCAAAAAGUGGGCAGACUUUGCUGGCAGACCUGAGCCACUUACCUACAAGCUGGUGUCUAAGAACUACCCAGACCUGUCCUUGGGAGACUACUCCCUGCUCUGGAAAGCCCACAAGAAGCUCACCCGCUCAGCCCUGCUGCUGGGCAUCCGUGACUCCAUGGAGCCAGUGGUGGAGCAGCUGACCCAAGAGUUCUGCGAGCGCAUGAGAGCCCAGGCCGGCACCCCUGUGGCCAUUGAGGAGGAAUUCUCUCUCCUCACCUGUAGCAUCAUCUGUUACCUCACCUUCGGAGACAAGAUCAAGGAGGUGUUAAAAACCUGGAGCCACUGGUCCAUCCAAAUUGUGGAUGUGAUUCCCUUUCUCAGGUUCUUCCCCAAUCCAGGUCUCCGGAGGCUGAAGCAGGCCAUAGAGAGGAGGGACCACAUCGUGGAGAAGCAGCUGAGGCAGCACAAGGAGAGCCUGGUGGCAGGCCAGUGGAGGGACAUGAUGGACUACAUGCUCCAAGGGGUGGCGCAGCCGAGCGUGGAAGAGGGCUCUGGACAGCUCCUGGAAGGGCACGUGCACAUGGCUGCAGUGGACCUCCUGAUCGGUGGCACUGAGACCACGGCAAACACCCUCUCCUGGGCCGUGGUUUUUUUGCUUCACCACCCUGAGAUUCAGCAGCGACUGCAGGAGGAGCUAGACCACGAACUGGGCCCUGGUGCCUCCAGCUCCCGGGUCCCCUACAAGGACCGUGCACGGCUGCCCUUGCUCAAUGCCACCAUCGCCGAGGUGCUGCGCCUGCGGCCCGUUGUGCCCUUAGCCUUGCCCCACCGCACCACACGGCCCAGCAGCAUCUCCGGCUACGACAUCCCUGAGGGCACAGUCAUCAUCCCAAACUUCAAGGCGCCCACCUGGAUGAGACGGUCUGGGAGAGGCCACAUGAGUUCUGGCCUGAUCGCUUCCUGGAGCCAGGCAAGAACUCCAGAGCUCUGGCCUUCGGCUGCGGGGCCCGUGUGUGCCUGGGCGAGCCGCUGGCGCGCCUGGAGCUCUUCGUGGUGCUGACCCGACUGCUGCAGGCCUUCACGCUGCUGCCCCCCGGGGACGCCCUGCCCUCCCUGCAGCCCCUGCCCCACUGCAGUGUCAUCCUCAAGAUGCAGCCUUUCCAAGUGCGGCUGCAGCCCCGGGGGAUGGGGGCCCACAGCCCGGGCCAGAGCCAGUGAUGGGGCAGGACCGAUGCCGGCCGGGUACCUCAGUUUCUCCUUUAUUGCUCCCGUACGAACCCCUCCCCUCCCCCCUGUAAACACAGUGCUGCGAGAUCGCUGGCAGAGAAGGCUUCCUCCAGAGGCUGGGUGGUGAAGGACCCUGGCUCUUCUCUCGGGGCGACCCCUCAGUGCUCGGCAGUCAUACUGGGGUGCGAGAGGUGGGCAGCAGCUCAGCCUCCCCUCCGCUGGGGAGCGAAAGUUUCUUGGUCUCAGCUUCAUUUCCGUGAAGGGCACCGAGAACUCGAAGCCCUUCCAGUAGUACCAGCUCACUCCCUGGGAAAGGGGUUGUCAAGAGAGAGUCAAAGCCGGAUGUCCCAUCUGCUCCUCCCGUUCCCCUUAAGGAGGUGGCUCCCAGCACUCAACCAACCUCCCCGCACAGCUCCCCUCCUGACCCUCCGCCACAGAGGAUUGAGGCUUAAUCCUGAGCUGGCCCUUUCCAGCCAAUAAAUCAUCUCCAGCUCCCUC
Molecule: small RNA, 2109 nt
Filed under: Pongo abelii (Sumatran orangutan)
Lineage: Eukaryota; Metazoa; Chordata; Mammalia; Primates; Hominidae
Description: retained intron
Source: RNAcentral